UGAUAAUUAGUUUAAACAAAACAAAUGAUUUCGACUCAUUAGACUGUGGGUAUCUCCACAAUUAUCAA
Molecule: transfer RNA, 68 nt
Filed under: Scaptonyx fusicauda
Lineage: Eukaryota; Metazoa; Chordata; Mammalia; Eulipotyphla; Talpidae
Description: tRNA-Arg
Rfam family: tRNA
About the family: Transfer RNA (tRNA) molecules are approximately 80 nucleotides in length. Their secondary structure includes four short double-helical elements and three loops (D, anti-codon, and T loops).
Source: RNAcentral